Non-coding RNA from Acanthosepion pharaonis, 98 nucleotides. The record is from the annotation of a GenBank genome assembly. NCBI's taxonomy places the organism in Eukaryota, Metazoa, Mollusca, Cephalopoda, Sepiida, Sepiidae.
AUGGUAACAUUGGUUCCAAAAUGAUCACUGAAGUUAAGCAAAGUCAAGCCUGGUCAGUACCUAGAUGGGUGACCGCUUGGAAAUACCAGGUGCUGUAG